GACCUCAAAUCAGGUAGGGCUACCCGCUGAACUUAAGCAUAUCAAUAAGCGGAGGAAAAGAAACUAACAAGGAUUCCCCUAGUAACGGCGAGCGAACAGGGAAGAGCUCAAAUUUGAAAUCUGGCGUCCUCAGGGCGUCCGAGUUGUAAUCUAUAGAGAUGUUUUCCGUGCCGGACCGUGUCCAAGUCCCUUGGAACAGGGUAUCAGAGAGGGUGACAAUCCCGUACUCGACACGACGACCGGCGCUCUGUGAUACGUCUUCUACGAGUCGAGUUGUUUGGGAAUGCAGCUCAAAAUGGGUGGUGAGUUCCAUCUAAGGCUAAAUAUUGGCGAGAGACCGAUAGCGAACAAGUACCGUGAGGGAAAGAUGAAAAGCACUUGGAAAGAGAGUAAA
RNAcentral lists this ribosomal RNA (394 nucleotides) under Tremella caloplacae. Its description in RNAcentral is "partial large subunit ribosomal RNA". It matches the Rfam family "Eukaryotic large subunit ribosomal RNA", at positions 1 to 391 of the family's 3401-position model. Lineage: Eukaryota; Fungi; Basidiomycota; Tremellomycetes; Tremellales; Tremellaceae. The record is from RNAcentral.